Molecule: transfer RNA, 72 nt
Filed under: Diabrotica virgifera virgifera (western corn rootworm)
Lineage: Eukaryota; Metazoa; Arthropoda; Insecta; Coleoptera; Chrysomelidae
Rfam family: tRNA
About the family: Transfer RNA (tRNA) molecules are approximately 80 nucleotides in length. Their secondary structure includes four short double-helical elements and three loops (D, anti-codon, and T loops).
Source: Rfam by way of RNAcentral
GGGAGUAUAGCUCAGUGGUAGAGUGUUCGACUGGUGAUCGAGAGGUCCCUGGUUCGAAUCCGUGUGUUUUCU